This 277-nucleotide ribosomal RNA is filed under the name uncultured bacterium. Its description in RNAcentral is "partial 16S ribosomal RNA". It matches the Rfam family "Bacterial small subunit ribosomal RNA", at positions 28 to 299 of the family's 1533-position model. The record is from RNAcentral.
GACGAACGCUGGCGGCGUGCUUAACACAUGCAAGUGGAGCGACGAACCAGGGCUUGCCCUGGGGCAAAGCCGCGAACGGGUGAGUAACACGUGGGUUACCUGCCCCGAUGAUCGGGACAACCCGGGGAAACCCGGGCUAAUACCGAAUGUGCUCGUGGUCGUGAUGACCUCGAGGAAAGGAAGCUUCGGCCUCCGCAUCGGGAUGGGCCCGCGGCCCAUUAGCUUGUUGGUGGGGUAACGGCCUACCAAGGCGACGAUGGGUAGCUGGUCUGAGAGG